Molecule: long non-coding RNA, 538 nt
Filed under: Capra hircus (goat)
Lineage: Eukaryota; Metazoa; Chordata; Mammalia; Artiodactyla; Bovidae
Description: lncRNA (ENSCHIG00000000621.1)
Source: RNAcentral
UCGUCACCCCUGUCCCUAAAAACCAUCCCUGAAAUUUACAAACCAGACCCUAAGGAAGGGGCAGAGCCAUGGAAAUUUCCUUAGGGUUGUUCUCACCGUGCACACCUUGGGGAAAGCAGAAACAUUUUCCGAGAGGCAGCAGGGACCACAGAUCAUCAGGCAUGUUGCUAGACAACCCCACAUCCUCCCAGGCCCCGCUGCCCCCUUGUCAGCCAUGGUAACCCUCCAGUUCACGCUUGUAUUUUCUCAGAACUCCGCGGCAGCUCAAGUGCGUCAGCAUCACGUCAGGUUUAUUUUGAAGAUGCCGAGGUCUCCAUGGAGACUUGGGGCAAGAAACAUGAUGAGAGGCCUUUAUCAAUUUCCAUAUCAUCGUGUCAUGGUUUUGCAAAACGUUCUUGAUGAAAGCAGAGAAUGGCAUUUUACUGAGUGUGGCAAUCUUGCCCAGCCUCUGACAUCGUACAGGUUGAUACCCAUCAGGUUGUCCUUGUAUGGACCACGGGAGAAGGGGCUGGCGCCUCCUGGGAGGAUCCACGUUUGA